RNAcentral lists this transfer RNA (86 nucleotides) under Pyrenochaeta sp. MPI-SDFR-AT-0127. It matches the Rfam family "tRNA". From Rfam's summary of the family: Transfer RNA (tRNA) molecules are approximately 80 nucleotides in length. The record is from Rfam by way of RNAcentral. Lineage: Eukaryota; Fungi; Ascomycota; Dothideomycetes; Pleosporales; Cucurbitariaceae.
UCCUCCGUGGCGCAAUUGGCUAGCGCGUUCGACUGUUAUGCAUCCAGCAAAUCGAGAGGUUGAAAGUUCGAGCCUUUCCGGGGGAG